GAAGAAUUCUCCAUGGCAGAGGUCACAGUACCAGAGCUGAGCUUGGACAUCCAAAUUGGAAUUUUCUCUUCAGAAAAUUCUGAAUCUCAAAAAACUGUGUCACCUGUUCCAUUAGCUUUUCUCCCUCUUUGUUCUUGGUGCUAUCUGAUGUAAUAAUUAUCUCAGAGGAAUGCAACAGAGAGAAGAAAGUCAACUUCAAAGCUCUCUUUCUGCCUAGACCUCAUGCAUAGCAGCAAGUUACAGCUGACUUCAUUACUCUCAAGAAUUCCUCAUGGGAGAAAUGAUCUUUACACACAACUUUGAUUUCCAUGGGACACAUACUGUGAUUUUUACUUGGAGAAUAACCAAAAUUGGAAACAAGAGCCCAAGACAUCAAUGCAAGUCAUGACUACUCUGUUCUUGAAUUUCUAAACCUCAGAGUCCCCCAGGACAAUGAAAUGAUUGUGUUAUGCUUCCAAAUGUGCAACUGCCUGUCUUGAUACCCCUAUAUUCCUGUGAAACCCACUUGUCCCCUGAGGUUACCUGAAGAUGAUGUAUCAGUCGGAAUGCCUUUGACAAGUUCCAGUGUCAGCUGUGUUGGCUUAAACAAAAAGUACUGCAUAAGCUUCCAUAAAAAGAAAUCUCGAGGCAGGCAGCCGGUGGCUGAAUCUUUCCAUGUUCUGAUAUACCAGUCAGUCUAAGGUUUAUCCGACCUCCACUCGCUCUGUGGUUGUAGGAUGGCUAUGAAAUGCCUGUAUCUUCAUUCACUUGACUCUUCAGAGCCCUUUAAUUCAUUUCCCCAACAAUUGCAAAUCUCAAUAUUUGCAUGUUAAUAAGAUCUGCUGAAGAAAAACAUUCCUAUCUGCUCUCAUUUUUUUGCAGCACAAAAUCAUGACAGUGACUGGGUUUCAUCAUUUUUUUGCUCACAAAUUUCUACACACGGAGGGGAGCAAUCAUCAGAUUUAUCUUAAGAAUAAUUUCAACUUUAUAAUACUUUCAGAAGCCAUAGAUACAAUCAAUUUUGAUUUUAAAUACUAUUUCUUUUCCUCAGUUUCACUUUAUUUUGUUUUCCUUUUAGCUAGUUCAAUGUCUAUAGUUUGUCAGUAAGAAAUGAACACAUUAAUAAGAGUAUUUAUAGGAAAUAUUCUUUAGGAAUCAUUUCUUAAAAAUAGUCCUAUAUUUUAAAGCACAAUUUAUUUUUAAUUGAAUAUCCAAUUCGCUUAUGUCAAAUAUAAAUAAUUGAUUCUUAUGGAAAUUACAAACAGAAAAAGAAAAAUCUCUCCAAUAACAUUACCAAAAAUUAAGGACUGUGAACAUGUGUUGCUUUCCAGAUUUUGUUUAAGAUUUCUGUUAUAAUCUUACCCACAUGUAAAUUGUAACAUAUCCAAUAUAUAGUUUGUCUUAUGAUAUGUUCUCUUAGCCUUAUGCACAAAAGAAUUUUCCCAUGCCACUAUUUUUAAAAACAGUACUAUGAUAUCCGUAAAAUAUUAAAAGAAUGGAUGUAGUAUUAAUUAUUUCCAUGCUUUUAUUUUUUAGAUUAUUUCUUAUCCUUUUAGUAUUAAAAUACCAUUUUUAUGUAGUGAUUAACUUCUUUGCAUCAAUUACUAUCCACAUUUUUUAUUAAUACUGUAUCUUUAAAUUUAUUUUUUUAAUGGAAUUACUGGUUGGAUAGCAUAUGAUUUCUUAAGUUUUAUCACACAAAUGAACAUAAUUGUUAAAAAAUAUAAUUAAAAAUUUUUUCUGGGCUAUUGAUAAUUUGCCCAGAAUAUAUAUAAAUGAUGAAUAAAUAUAAAUGAUAAAUAUAUAUAAAUAUAAAAUGAUUUCAUGCUAGUUUUCAUGUAUUUUUCAUUUUAUUGCAUCAGUUACAUAGUGAAUCCUAAGUCUUCUGUGACAGCAGCUACUGAAAACUGCAUAUUGCUUUAAAGUCUACAGAAUACAGUGUAGCUUUGAGCACUUCAAUAUUUCUUCACUUUUCAUCUGUAACAUGGAUGCAUAAUUUUGCAGUAUAAGCACAAAAAUUUUGCUUUGUUUUGUUUUGUUUUUGUAAGUAGAGGUUUACAUAAAACCGGUAAUCAUAAAAUCUCUUUAUCAUUUCGCAAAAAGAAAAAGCAACUCUAAUCAGCAAGUUUUAAAAUGGAAGGUUAACUCCAUGGAAAUCUACUUUGAUGUAAUAAAUUCCAUCUUGAUGAUUACAUCUUUAAUGUAUGAAAUUCAGAUGGAAAAAUCAAAGUAAAUUUUUUGGACAUCAUGGAAAGCUAUUUCUA
RNAcentral lists this long non-coding RNA (2243 nucleotides) under Equus caballus (horse). RNAcentral describes it as "lncRNA (ENSECAG00000050864.1)". The record is from RNAcentral. Lineage: Eukaryota; Metazoa; Chordata; Mammalia; Perissodactyla; Equidae.